Molecule: long non-coding RNA, 765 nt
Filed under: Oryzias javanicus (javanese ricefish)
Lineage: Eukaryota; Metazoa; Chordata; Actinopteri; Beloniformes; Adrianichthyidae
Description: lncRNA (ENSOJAG00000008791.1)
Source: RNAcentral
GCGCGCGGUGGGCGGUCUGCUGAAGUGAUGUUUGGUAACGUGCUCCCUUUUCCAGCCUGUUUAUGUAACACGCGAGUCCUGUUGUUUUCCCCCAUUUAAAUAUUUAACAUUUUUCACGUAAACACAAAAUUAGCAUUUCUUUUUUAACUGCGUUCUUUCCUUAUUUUUAUUUUCCCACCAACAUUACCCGGAAAUAAGCUAACCUGAGCGCACAGACGUGUCCUAGUUUAAGGGGGGAAAAAAACCGAACCGGAGCGGCUCCGUUUCCUCGCGGGGUGGGAUGGAGAGGUGCGCUCGCGCGCGUGGAUUUCUGCAGCAGGAGGAUGUGGCGCACUUUCAUUUACCUCCGGAGUGGAGCUCUGCCACGCGGUAACAUUUAUCCCUAAUAAUUCCUCAUUUAUCGAAAAGUUCACAGCUUAACGACUCCAAACAAAAUCAAAUGAAGAAGCGAGCUGAUUCCUCUUGCUCUGAACCUAACUCUGUCCUCCUCUCGCUGCUGUCCCGUCAACAUGGAAACAAAAGGAUCAUCUGAUCAAGGCAGGUACGAUCAGAUAAACUGUAACCCAAAUUCUUCAAAUAAACACAGCUAACAAACCCACUAUUUAUUAGAAGUUCUUUAGCAGACUUGUCACUACGAUCUGUUUUAAUCAGACGAUGUUUUGCUUUAUUUCCUUUAGGUCAGAGAAGAAGAAGAUUGCGGAGGGGGGGGUUAGUGCGUGGAAAUUGCAGUAAAACGCGGCAGCAGGAAGGAAAAGAUAAACAUGU